UACGUAGGGGGCAAGCGUUGUCCGGAAUCAUUGGGCGUAAAGCGCGUGUAGGCGGCCAGAAAAGUCCGCUGUGAAAACUCGAGGCUCAACUUCGAGCUGUCGGUGGAAACUUUCUGGCUAGAGUCCGGAAGAGGAGAAUGGAAUUCCUGGUGUAGCGGUGAAAUGCGCAGAUAUCGGGAGGAACACCAGCGGCGAAGGCGGCACUCUGGGCUGGUACUGACGCUGAGGAGCGAAAGCGUGGGUAGCAAACAGG
RNAcentral lists this ribosomal RNA (253 nucleotides) under uncultured bacterium. Its description in RNAcentral is "partial 16S ribosomal RNA". It matches the Rfam family "Bacterial small subunit ribosomal RNA", at positions 524 to 776 of the family's 1533-position model. The record is from RNAcentral.